This 497-nucleotide ribosomal RNA is filed under the name uncultured bacterium. RNAcentral's name for it is "partial 16S ribosomal RNA". It matches the Rfam family "Bacterial small subunit ribosomal RNA", at positions 28 to 507 of the family's 1533-position model. The record is from RNAcentral.
GACGAACGCUGGCGGCGUGCCUAAUACAUGCAAGUUGAGCGAUGAAGCUUGGUGCUUGCACCAAUUUGAAGAGCAGCGAACGGGUGAGUAACGCGUGGGGAAUCUGCCUUUGAGCGGGGGACAACAUUUGGAAACGAAUGCUAAUACCGCAUAACAACUUUAAACAUAAGUUUUAAGUUUGAAAGAUGCAAUUGCAUCACUCAAAGAUGAUCCCGCGUUGUAUUAGCUAGUUGGUGAGGUAAAGGCUCACCAAGGCGAUGAUACAUAGCCGACCUGAGAGGGUGAGCGGCCACAUUGGGACUGAGACACGGCCCAAACUCAUACGGGAGGCAGCAGUAGGGAAUCUUCGGCAAUGGACGAAAGUCUGACCGAGCAACGCCGCGUGAGUGAAGAAGGUUUUCGGAUCGUAAAACUCUGUUGGUAGAGAAGAACGUUGGUGAGAGUGGAAAGCUCAUCAAGUGACGGUAACUACCCAGAAAGGGACGGCUAACUACGUG